GUCCAGAAUGCGGCGGACCAGAGCCAGAAGCCUACGAGGGUUACGGCUGCAGCCGGUCGAUAGCGCGUCGUCAUGAUCGCAAGGCCGGCUGC
This is a small RNA of Rhizobium tibeticum, 92 nucleotides long. It matches the Rfam family "Rhizobiales sRNA Atu_Ti1". The record is from Rfam. Lineage: Bacteria; Pseudomonadati; Pseudomonadota; Alphaproteobacteria; Hyphomicrobiales; Rhizobiaceae.